CAGCAGCCGCGGGAAUACGUAGGGUGCGAGCGUUAAUCGGAAUUACUGGGCGUAAAGCGUGCGCAGGCGGUUUUGUAAGACAGGCGUGAAAUCCCCGGGCUCAACCUGGGAAUGGCGCUUGUGACUGCAAAGCUAGAGUGCGGCAGAGGGGGAUGGAAUUCCGCGUGUAGCAGUGAAAUGCGUAGAUAUGCGGAGGAACACCGAUGGCGAAGGCAAUCCCCUGGGCCUGCACUGACGCUCAUGCACGAAAGCGUGAGGAGCAAACAGGAUUAGAUACCCGCGUAGUCCCUGUCUCUUAUAC
Molecule: ribosomal RNA, 301 nt
Filed under: uncultured bacterium
Lineage: Bacteria
Description: partial 16S ribosomal RNA
Rfam family: Bacterial small subunit ribosomal RNA
Source: RNAcentral